Molecule: small nucleolar RNA, 126 nt
Filed under: Cavia porcellus (domestic guinea pig)
Lineage: Eukaryota; Metazoa; Chordata; Mammalia; Rodentia; Caviidae
Source: RNAcentral
ACGACCCUGAAUUAAGGCCUGCAGUUUUCUGAAGCUGUUACUUCAAGCAGGAGCCUAAAGUUAUAUGAUCUGUUGGCCAUUUCAGAACUUCAGAAAUGCAAAUCAGCUCAUCAGAAGGUAACCAUC